CAUAGCCAGUGCACCAGGACCCACGGAUCCCUGAGCAGAUGUCUGAGGUGGGUUGUUGCUGCGGGAAAGGGCACCAUCCCUACUGGAAAAAGCAGGGUGCAGGGAGGGCGGGGCUGCAGGUGGUCAGAGCACGAAGCAGUAGGGACUAGGCCCCCGGGGAGUCAUAUGUGGAACUGGGUCAGCAGGGAUGCUGAGCCAAAUGGGUGUGUCGCCGUGAAGUGUCUAACGGUCACGCCAGACACAUGCAUGGGGGAGGUCUCCUGGUGCAAGGCAGGUAGGGCCUCUGCCUGAGCCCAGAGGAGCCAGAAGACACAAGGACAGCCUGGUGUGAUGCACGUGCCGUCACCUGCUUUUCAAAUGAUGUGAGUAUUGGUUUCUGCUUGUUUCCGAGUCUCUUACCCUCUGUCAAGGAUCCCCCCCCUUCCUGCAGUCACUCUCCACAGCCCUCCAACUCCACCUACCUGGAGCCUCAGCCGGAAGGAGUCCUUCCUCUCCUAGGAUGCUGCCCCCACCUUCGCUUUUAUCCAGUGGUUCCCAUCUCUUACAUGUUUCCCACCUAACAGCUCGCGUAGUGGCCUACAAGCUCCUUGAAGGCAGGAGCCACGCAUGCAGCCCUGCUGGGGGUUUGAGCUCUGGCUGCCUGGCCUGCUGCCUGUGUUCCUCUGACCCCCUCCUAAGUGCUCAGGAACAACUUAUGGCAGUACUUUUUAAUGGCAGCUGGUUGCUAGUUUUUAAUCAAUGAACCAAAACAAAAACUGAGUAAGUCAAAUAGGCCUAUUCAUUUGCAGUGGCACUAAGUAAAUAAUGCAGACCUUGAUACAUGAAGCUAACCUUUUUCAUCAAUACACACCUUUCAUCUUUCCCCGUCAUUCUGAUGUCCUUUGCUUUGUUUAUACCAAGGUUUAAUGUGACUUUGUAUGCCCGGUCACUGCUCUCUGUGGCUAGAGGGAUGGUCAUGACGACAGAGAGAGCAGCUCUGCCCUGCUGGCCCCUCAGCACGAAUGCCUUCAAGGAGACACAUGGCCGGGGUGGGGGGGCGGGGGGAGUCGCUAUACCGACUCCCAGCCUGGCUUUCCUGGUAGAUACCAGGCUAGACGGCAAGACAGGAACCCUAAAUACUAAGAACCCACGUGAUUAGUAAUCGGAGAAAGCUCUGUGCGUGCACUCGCUGCCUUUUCACUCUGUACAGGAUGCAUCUGCUGGGACCGCAGAACUUCUGCUGGACGCUCAGCAUGACUUAUCCAGCCUGACGUCAGGGUCACAGUGCAACUGGGGACACUGCAGCUUUUGGGCACUGUCAGUACCUCUUCCCCCCCAUCUCUCCACAGAGCCAUCUCCAAGGGCCGGCCAGGAGCUGUGCCCUGCCCCCACCACAAGCUACGGUCUCUUUGGGUGCCAUGCAGGGAGGGAGGUCACACCAUCCGUGAGCAGUGACGGAACGCCUGAAUGACAACAGCCUCUCUGAAGCAGGGUCUGUGUGGUUUUGACAGCCUACUUGUGUCUUUUAACCUUGUGAACACUGGAAGAUGACACGCAGUGAUUACGUAAGGACCCUGGCCUUCAGCCAGAAGCCCCAGCCUCCCCAGCGCACGCGAGGGCGGGGCAGGCCGGCGUGUGCACAGGCGGCGGCCCCUGCAUGGCUGCUGGUGUCUCAGCAAAAUGCGGCGGUAACGUGGUCAGACGUAACAAAGGACCCCCUCCCUCCCCGGGCAAUUUAGCAGCAUUCGUUUCAAUACCCAGAAGAAAAUGUAGCCUUCAACAACAAGGUUAGACCACUACUUAUGGAUUCCCUCU
Non-coding RNA from Vicugna pacos (alpaca), 1794 nucleotides. The record is from RefSeq and is a predicted model, not a curated record. Lineage: Eukaryota; Metazoa; Chordata; Mammalia; Artiodactyla; Camelidae.